GAAACAGAUGAGGAAGAACUCAGA
Molecule: non-coding RNA, 24 nt
Filed under: Cricetulus griseus (Chinese hamster)
Lineage: Eukaryota; Metazoa; Chordata; Mammalia; Rodentia; Cricetidae
Source: RNAcentral